ACGAACGCUGGCGGCGCGCUUAACACCUGCAAGUCGAACGGAAAGGCCUGUCCUUCCUUGUGUUGGACGGGUCCUCGAGUGGCGAACGGGUGAGUAACACGUGAGUGAUCUGCCCCCAACUUGGGUAUAAGCCUGGGAAACUGGGUCUAAUUCCCGAUAGGACUGCAGGGUGGUGCCUGUGGUGGAAAACGAUUUUCUAGUGGUUGGGGAUGAGCUCGCGGCCUAUCAGCUUGUUGGUGGGGUAAUGGCCUACCAAGGCGGCGACGGGUAGCCGGCCUGAGAGGGUGGACGGCCACAUUGGGACUGAGAUACGGCCCAGACUCCUACGGGAGGCAGCAGUGGGGAAUAUUACACAAUGGGCGGAAGCCUGAUGCAGCGACGCCGCGUGGGGGAUGACGGCCUUCGGGUUGUAAACUCCUUUCGACCGCGAGGAAGCCGCCUGGUUGGAAGGGUGGUGACGGUAGUGGUAGAAGAAGCACUGGCUAAGUACGUG
RNAcentral lists this ribosomal RNA (493 nucleotides) under uncultured bacterium. RNAcentral's name for it is "partial 16S ribosomal RNA". It matches the Rfam family "Bacterial small subunit ribosomal RNA", at positions 29 to 507 of the family's 1533-position model. The record is from RNAcentral.